CCUACGGGCGGCAGCAGUGAGGAAUAUUGGUCAAUGGACGAGAGUCUGAACCAGCCAAGUAGCGUGAAGGAUGACUGCCCUAUGGGUUGUAAACUUCUUUUAUAAAGGAAUAAAACGAGGCACGUGUGCCUUUUUGCAUGUACUUUAUGAAUAAGGAUCGGCUAACUCCGUGCCAGCAGCCGCGGUAAUACGGAGGAUCCGAGCGUUAUCCGGAUUUAUUGGGUUUAAAGGGAGCGUAGGUGGAUUGUUAAGUCAGUUGUGAAAGUUUGCGGCUCAACCGUAAAAUUGCAGUUGAAACUGGCAGUCUUGAGUACAGUAGAGGUGGGCGGAAUUCGUGGUGUAGCGGUGAAAUGCUUAGAUAUCACGAAGAACUCCGAUUGCGAAGGCAGCCUGCUGGACUGUAACUGACGCUGAGGCGCGAAAGCGUGGGGAGCAAA
RNAcentral lists this ribosomal RNA (437 nucleotides) under uncultured bacterium. RNAcentral's name for it is "bacterial SSU rRNA". It matches the Rfam family "Bacterial small subunit ribosomal RNA", at positions 338 to 772 of the family's 1533-position model. The record is from RNAcentral.